UACGAAGGGGGCUAGCGUUGUUCGGAAUUACUGGGCGUAAAGCGUGCGUAGGCGGUCUCUUAAGUCCGUUGUGAAAGCCCUGGGCUCAACCUGGGAACUGCAGUGGAUACUGAGAAGCUAGAGUGUGUCAGAGGAUGGUGGAAUUCCCGGUGUAGCGGUGAAAUGCUUAGAUAUGACAUAGAACACCAAUUGCGAAGGCAGCUUACUACAGGGAUAUUGACACUGAGGCACGAAAGCGUGGGGAUCAAACAGG
RNAcentral lists this ribosomal RNA (253 nucleotides) under uncultured bacterium. Its description in RNAcentral is "partial 16S ribosomal RNA". It matches the Rfam family "Bacterial small subunit ribosomal RNA", at positions 524 to 776 of the family's 1533-position model. The record is from RNAcentral.